CCUACGGGGGGCAGCAGUGGGGAAUAUUGCACAAUGGGGGGAACCCUGAUGCAGCGACGCCGCGUGGGUGAAGAAGUACUUCGGUAUGUAAAGCCCUAUCAGCAGGGAAGAAAAUGACGGUACCGGACUAAGAAGCCCCGGCUAACUACGUGCCAGGAGCCGCGGUAAUACGUAGGGGGCAAGCGUGAGCCGGAUUUACGGGGUGUAAAGGUAGCGUAGACGGCGUGCCAAGUCUGAUGUGAAAGGCCGGGGCUCAACCCCGGGACUGCAUUGGAAACUGGCAUGCUGGAGUGCAGGAGGGGCAAGCGGAAUUCCUAGUGUAGCGGUGAAAUGCGUAGAUAUUAGGAGGAACACCGGUGGCGAAGGCGGCUUGCUGGACGGUAACUGACGUUGAGGCUCGAAAGCGUGGGGAGCAAACAGGAUUAGAUACCCUAGUAGUC
Molecule: ribosomal RNA, 440 nt
Filed under: uncultured bacterium
Lineage: Bacteria
Description: partial 16S ribosomal RNA
Rfam family: Bacterial small subunit ribosomal RNA
Source: RNAcentral